UACGUAGGGGGCAAGCGUUGUCCGGAAUCCUUGGGCGUAAAGAGCGUGUAGGCGGCCCGAUAAGUCCGCUGUGAAAGUCCAGGGCUCAACCCUGGAAUGCCAGUGGAAACUGUCGGGCUGGAGUCCGGAAGAGGCGAGUGGAAUUCCUGGUGUAGCGGUGAAAUGCGCAGAUAUCAGGAGGAACACCAAUGGCGAAGGCAGCUCGCUGGGACGGUACUGACGCUGAGACGCGAAAGCAUGGGGAGCGAACAGG
Molecule: ribosomal RNA, 253 nt
Filed under: uncultured bacterium
Lineage: Bacteria
Description: partial 16S ribosomal RNA
Rfam family: Bacterial small subunit ribosomal RNA
Source: RNAcentral